CCCUCCAAGUAGCCAACCAAUUGGACAGGGGCGGGGGACCCACAGGUACGUGGGGUCGCCGGAGAUCAGAUCCGGCGCGAUCCCUUGGGGUGAAGCCGCGCAGCGCGCGGCCGGGCACUACACCUUCCCGCCCGAACCCGACAGCUCACCUCGCAGGCGUGCAUGGAAGGACUC
RNAcentral lists this small RNA (174 nucleotides) under Cryptosporangium aurantiacum. RNAcentral describes it as "c-di-AMP sequence". It matches the Rfam family "c-di-AMP riboswitch aptamer (ydaO/yuaA leader)". Rfam says of the family: This family represents a conserved RNA structure found upstream of the ydaO and yuaA genes in Bacillus subtilis and related genes in other bacteria. The ydaO/yuaA element is thought to act as a genetic "off" switch for the ydaO and yuaA genes in its native state. It is believed that the element may be triggered during osmotic shock leading to activation of ydaO, a predicted amino acid transporter gene, and members of the yuaA-yubG operon which code for KtrA and KtrB K+ transporters. Lineage: Bacteria; Bacillati; Actinomycetota; Actinomycetes; Cryptosporangiales; Cryptosporangiaceae. The record is from Rfam by way of RNAcentral.